RNAcentral lists this ribosomal RNA (115 nucleotides) under Paraclostridium sordellii. The record is from RNAcentral. Lineage: Bacteria; Bacillati; Bacillota; Clostridia; Peptostreptococcales; Peptostreptococcaceae.
UGGUUACUAUAGCAAAGAGGAUACACCUGUUCCCAUUCCGAACACAGAAGUUAAGCUCUUUAGCGCCGAUGGUACUUGGUGGGAAGCUGCCUGGGAGAGUAGGACGUAGCCNGUA